RNAcentral lists this ribosomal RNA (292 nucleotides) under uncultured bacterium. Its description in RNAcentral is "partial 16S ribosomal RNA". It matches the Rfam family "Bacterial small subunit ribosomal RNA", at positions 505 to 796 of the family's 1533-position model. The record is from RNAcentral.
GUGCCAGCAGCCGCGGUAAAACGUAGGAGGCGAGCGUUAUCCGGAUUUACUGGGUGUAAAGCGCGUGCAGGCGGUUUAUUAAGUUGGGUGUGAAAGCUCCUGGCUCAACUGGGAGAGGUCGCUCAAGACUGAUAGACUUGAGAGCAGUAGGGGAAGGUGGAAUUCCGGGUGUAGUGGUGAAAUGCGUAGAUAUCCGGAGGAACACCAGUGGCGAAGGCGGCCUUCUAGACUGUAUCUGACGCUCAGACGCGAAAGCUAGGGUAGCAAACGGGAUUAGAUACCCCCGUAGUCC